This 1958-nucleotide ribosomal RNA is filed under the name Orbilia elegans. Its description in RNAcentral is "eukaryotic LSU rRNA". The stretch from base 1327 to 1958 matches the Rfam family "Eukaryotic large subunit ribosomal RNA", at positions 1 to 648 of the family's 3401-position model. The record is from RNAcentral. Lineage: Eukaryota; Fungi; Ascomycota; Orbiliomycetes; Orbiliales; Orbiliaceae.
CCUUAGAUGUUCUGGGCCGCACGCGCGCUACACUGACAGAGCCAACGAGUAUAAACCUUAACCGAGAGGUUUGGGUAAUCUUGUUAAACUCUGUCGUGCUGGGGAUAGGGCAUUGCAAUUAUUGCCCUUCAACGAGGAAUAUCUAGUAAGCGCAAGUCAUCAGCUUGCGUUGAUUACGUCCCUGCCCUUUGUACACACCGCCCGUCGCUACUACCGAUUGAAUGGCUCAGUGAGGCCUUCGGACUGACUCCAGGAGGUCGGCAACGACCACCCAGAGCCGGAAAGUUGGUCAAACUUGGUCAUUUAGAGGAAGUAAAAGUCGUAACAAGGUUUGAAGUAUGAUCCUUCCAUGGGUGACGCUCACGAGAAGCCUUUGUGGCCCUGCAAGGGGUACCUGCCGCGACUGUAAAAAAUGGAUGUGGGUAUUAAAUCGCAAGUCAGCCAUCAGCUGGCAACACUUUCGAAUUGCGGGAACACCCUAAAGCCCACCUCUACCAACCAGCCGGGGAAAUCCGGUUGGGGCCUGUGUUAACAGCACAGGAUAAGGUAAUAAUGAGGUGGGAUACGUCAGCCUUCAGUUGACAAUAUGGGCAAUCCGCAGCCAAGUCCCUAAGGUCCUGAUGGGCUAUGGGAAAGGUUCACAGACUAGGUGGAAGUGGGUCUGGGUCUGAGGACCUGGGCUUAAGAUAUAGUCGGGCUGUUUGCGAGAGCAAAUGGAAGUCACAAUGCUACAACUUAUUAGAAUAUUAUUCUAAACUGUGCCUUAACCGUUCCGUAGGUGAACCUGCGGAAGGAUCAUUACCAAAUGUCCAGUGAGCAAUCACUGCCUGCCUGUUUCGGUGGCCCUCGGGCUGCUGAUCAGUCAACCCUUUGUGAACCAAAAAAACCUUUCGCUUCUGCAGCGGGGCCUCAACCGCCCGUCAGCCUGCGGUUAGCAUCAAAAAUCAAACCUGUUGUCAAAACAUUGUCUGAUAACCAAAUUUUCGAAUGAAAAUUAAAACUUUCAACAACGGAUCUCUUGGUUCCCGCAUCGAUGAAGAACGCAGCGAAACGCGAUAGUUAAUGUGAAUUGCAGAAUUUAGUGAAUCAUCGAGUCUUUGAACGCACAUUGCGCCCAUUGGUAUUCCUUUGGGCAUGUCUGUUUGAGCGUCAUUACAACCCUCAGCUAACCUGCUGGUCUUGAGCCGGAGCAGGUUAAACACUGCGCCGGUUUUAAAGUUGUAAGCUCUGCUGGCUGCUCUGCCAACCCAGAACAUAGUAAAACACUACUUGUUGAGGUGAAGCUAAGCGGUACGGCCUGAACAAAACCUACCCAUUUUCAAGGUUUGACCUCAGAUCAGAUAAGGAUACCCGCUGAACUUAAGCAUAUCAAUAAGCGGAGGAAAAGAAACCAACAGGGAUUGCCUCAGUAACGGCGAGUGAAGCGGCAACAGCUCAAAUUUGAAAUCUGGAGCCUUCGGCUUCCGAGUUGUAAUUUGAAGAGGAUGUUUCGGUGCGACCUGGGCCUAAGUUCCUUGGAACAGGACGUCAUGGAGGGUGAGAAUCCCGUACAUGGCUGCAGGUUUGCUUCUAUGUGAAACUCCUUCGAAGAGUCGAGUUGUUUGGGAAUGCAGCUCAAAAUGGGUGGUAAAUUUCAUCUAAAGCUAAAUAUUGGCGGGAGACCGAUAGCGCACAAGUAGAGUGAUCGAAAGAUGAAAAGCACUUUGAAAAGAGAGUUAAACAGUACGUGAAAUUGUUGAAAGGGAAGCGCUUGCAAUCAGACUCGCCUUCAGUUGAUCAGCCUUCCUUCUGGUUGGUGCACUCUGCUGUUGGCGGGCCAGCAUCAGUUGGGGCGGUGGGACAAAGGCGGCAGGAAUGUGGCUCGCUUCGGCGAGUGUUAUAGCCUGCUGUGUCAUGCCACCAGCCCCGACUGAGGUCCGCGGUUCGCCUAGGAUGCUGGCUUAAUGGUUGUAAGCGAC